GGAGACGUGGCAGAGCGGUCGAUUGCAGCGGGCUUGAACCCCGCAGCGCCUUCCCGGGCGCCGUGAGUUCGAAUCUCACCGUCUCCGCCA
This 90-nucleotide transfer RNA is filed under the name Escherichia coli. Its description in RNAcentral is "tRNA-Ser". It matches the Rfam family "tRNA". Rfam says of the family: Transfer RNA (tRNA) molecules are approximately 80 nucleotides in length. The record is from RNAcentral. RNAcentral also lists the same sequence under 2 other names. Lineage: Bacteria; Pseudomonadati; Pseudomonadota; Gammaproteobacteria; Enterobacterales; Enterobacteriaceae.